GAUGAACGCUGGCGGCGUGCCUAAUACAUGCAAGUCGAGCGAACAGAUGAGGAGCUUGCUCCUCUGACGUUAGCGGCGGACGGGUGAGUAACACGUGGAUAACCUACCUAUAAGACUGGGAUAACUUCGGGAAACCGGAGCUAAUACCGGAUAAUAUAUUGAACCGCAUGGUUCAAUAGUGAAUGACGGUUUUGCUGUCACUUAUAGCUGGAUCCGCGCCGCAUUAGCUAGUUGGUAAGGUAACGGCUUACCAAGGCAACGAUGCGUAGCCGACCUGAGAGGGUGAUAGGCCACACUGGAGCUGAGACACGGUCCAGAGGCCUACGGGAGGCAGCAGUAGCGAAUGUUCCGCAAUGGGCGAAAGCCUGACGCAGCAACGCCGCGUGAGUUAUGAAGGUCUUCGGAUCGUAAAACUCUGUUAUUAGGGAAGAACAAAUGUGUAAGUAACUAUGCACGUCUUGACGGUACCUAAUCAGAAAGCCACGGCUAACUACGUG
RNAcentral lists this ribosomal RNA (497 nucleotides) under uncultured bacterium. RNAcentral's name for it is "partial 16S ribosomal RNA". It matches the Rfam family "Bacterial small subunit ribosomal RNA", at positions 28 to 507 of the family's 1533-position model. The record is from RNAcentral.